UGCAGUCGUACGAGAGUUUUUAACUCAAGUGGCGGACGGGUGAGUAACACGUAAGAAUUUGCCUUUAGGAGGGGGAUAACAACUGGAAACGGUUGCUAAUACCCCAUAUGCUUUCGAGUGAAAUGGAUUUUUCCGCCUAGAGAGAAGCUUGCGGCUGAUUAGCUUGUUGGUAAGGUAAUGGCUUACCAAGGCGACGAUCAGUAUCUGGUUUGAGAGGAUGAUCAGACACACUGGAACUGAGACACGGUCCAGACUCCUACGGGAGGCAGCAGUGGGGAAUUUUCCGCAAUGGGCGAAAGCCUGACGGAGCAAUACCGCGUGAGGGAUGACGGCCUAUGGGUUGUAAACCUCUUUUUUCAGGGAGGAAAAAAAUGACGUUACCUGAAGAAUAAGCAUCGGCUAACUCCGUGCCAGCAGCCGCGGUAAUACG
This 430-nucleotide ribosomal RNA is filed under the name uncultured bacterium. RNAcentral describes it as "bacterial SSU rRNA". It matches the Rfam family "Bacterial small subunit ribosomal RNA", at positions 56 to 527 of the family's 1533-position model. RNAcentral also lists the same sequence under 1 other name. The record is from RNAcentral.